AUUGAACGCUGGCGGCAUGCCUUACACAUGCAAGUCGAACGGCAGCGGGGGAGAAGCUUGCUUUUCCUGCCGGCGAGUGGCGAACGGGUGAGUAAUACAUCGGAACGUGCCCUGUAGUGGGGGAUAACUAGUCGAAAGAUUAGCUAAUACCGCAUACGACCUGAGGGUGAAAGUGGGGGACCGCAAGGCCUCAUGCUAUAGGAGCGGCCGAUGUCUGAUUAGCUAGUUGGUGGGGUAAAGGCCCACCAAGGCGACGAUCAGUAGCUGGUCUGAGAGGACGAUCAGCCACACGGGGACUGAGACACGGCCCAGACUCCUACGGGAGGCAGCAGUGGGGAAUUUUGGACAAUGGGCGAAAGCCUGAUCCAGCAAUGCCGCGUGUGUGAAGAAGGCCUUCGGGUUGUAAAGCACUUUUGUCCGGAAAGAAAAGGACUGCCCUAAUACGGUGGUCCCAUGACGGUACCGUAAGAAUAAGCACCGGCUAACUACGUGCCAGCCGCCGCGGUAA
This 508-nucleotide ribosomal RNA is filed under the name uncultured bacterium. RNAcentral's name for it is "partial 16S ribosomal RNA". It matches the Rfam family "Bacterial small subunit ribosomal RNA", at positions 30 to 523 of the family's 1533-position model. The record is from RNAcentral.